GUUAAGCGACUAAGCGUACACGGUGGAUGCCCUGGCAGUCAGAGGCGAUGAAGGGCGUGCUAAUCUGCGAUAAGCGCCGGUAAGGUGAUAUGAACCGUUAUAACCGGCGAUACCCGAAUGGGGAAACCCAGUGUGAUUCGUCACACUAUCAUUAACUGAAUCCAUAGGUUAAUGAGGCGAACCGGGGGAACUGAAACAUCUAAGUACCCCGAGGAAAAGAAAUCAACCGAGAUUCCCCCAGUAGCGGCGAGCGAACGGGGAGGAGCCCAGAGCCUGAAUCAGCAUGUGUGUUAGUGGAAGCGUCUGGAAAGGCGCGCGAUACAGGGUGACAGCCCCGUACACAAAAGCGCAUGUGCUGUGAGCUCGAUGAGUAGGGCGGGACACGUGGUAUCCUGUCUGAAUAUGGGGGGACCAUCCUCCAAGGCUAAAUACUCCUGACUGACCGAUAGUGAACCAGUACCGUGAGGGAAAGGCGAAAAGAACCCCGGCGAGGGGAGUGAAAAAGAACCUGAAACCGUGUACGUACAAGCAGUGGGAGCACAGGUUUACCUGUGUGACUGCGUACC
Molecule: ribosomal RNA, 566 nt
Filed under: Salmonella enterica subsp. enterica serovar Bareilly
Lineage: Bacteria; Pseudomonadati; Pseudomonadota; Gammaproteobacteria; Enterobacterales; Enterobacteriaceae
Description: partial 23S ribosomal RNA
Rfam family: Bacterial large subunit ribosomal RNA
Source: RNAcentral